RNAcentral lists this long non-coding RNA (223 nucleotides) under Homo sapiens (human). Its description in RNAcentral is "non-protein coding lnc-RIOK3-1:1". Lineage: Eukaryota; Metazoa; Chordata; Mammalia; Primates; Hominidae. The record is from RNAcentral.
AUGUAGGAAUCAAUCCCAAAGAAAUAGUUGGAGAUCUGGCAGACUUUAACACAAAAAUGUCUAGUAACAUUGUUUUCAUACCCCCAAAAUAGAACAUAAAUGUCUGUUAAUAAGGCGGCUAAAUAUCUUACAAUAUGUCUAUUUGACAAAAAAAAUCUAUGCAGUUAUUAAAACUAUUUCAAAGAAUGAUGGUGGUUGGACAUUUCCUAAAAAUGUAUAUAAA